AAGAAAGUAAAUAAGGGCGUAUGGCGGAUGCCUAGGCUCAUCCAGGCGAUGAAGGACGUGAUAAGCUGCGAUAAUCCGCGGGUAGGUGCAAAUGACCCUUGAUCCGCGGGUCUCCGAAUGGGACAACCCGGGUAUCUGAAGGAUACCCAUCCGUAUUUUUGCGGAAGCUAACGGAGGGAACUGAAACAUCUUAGUACCUCCAGGAAGAGAAAAUAAUUUAAUGAUUCCCCCAGUAGCGGCGAGCGACCGGGGAAGAGCCCAAACCGUUCGUGUCCUUCGGGCAUGUGCGGGGUUGUAGGACCGCGUCAUUGCACGCCAUGCAGAGAGGAGAGCCUUCUGGAAAGAAGGACCACAGAGGGUGAUAGUCCCGUAUCCGAACCUGCAUGCGGCAUAGCGGUAUCCUGAGUAGCGCGGGGCACGAGAAAUCCUGCGUGAAUCUGCCGGGACCAUCCGGCAAGGCUAAAUACUCGGAUGAGACCGAUAGUGUACCAGUACCGUGAGGGAAAGGUGAAAAGCACUUCGACAAGAAGGGUGAAAUAGUUCCUGAAACCAUACGCCUACAAGCGGUCGGAGCACCAUUUUGGUGUGACGGCGUGCCUUUUGCAUAAUGAACCUACGAGUUGCCAUCACCGGCGAGGCUAAGCCACAUGAGUGGCGCACCCGCAGUGAAAGCGAGCCUGAACAGGGCGUUUUAGUCGGUGGGGGCAGACGCGAAACCAAGUGAUCUACACAUGUCCAGGCUGAAGUCCGGGUAACACCUGAUGGAGGGCCGCACCAGUAAGCGUUGAAAAGCUUUUGGAUGAGGUGUGUGUAGGAGUGAAAGGCCAAUCAAACUUGGAGAUAGCUCGUACUCCCCGAAAGGCAUUUAGGUGCCGCGUGUGGCGAUCCGCAUGAGAGGUAGAGCGACCGAUAGGUCGAGAGGGCUUCACCGCCUAUCAAGACCUGACGAACUCCGAAUGCUCAUGCGCUGCAGCCAUGCAGUAAGGGUGCGGGUGCUAAGGCCCGUACCCGAGAGGAGAAGAAUCCGGACCGCCGUCUAAGGUCCCCGAGUUCUGCCUGAGUUAGUCUAACGAAGUGCGGUCCCCGUGACAGCCAGGAUGUUGGCUUGGAAGCAGCCAUUCAUUCAAAGAGUGCGUAACAGCUCACUGGUCGAGGGUCCGUGCGUGGAUAAUAAUCGGGUAUAAGGCAGACACCGAAGGCGCGGGAUAGUAAUGUAUAUUAAAAGUAUCGGUAGGGGAGCAUUCCAUGUACGCAGAAUGCGGGGAGACGAUUCCUGCUGGAGUGUAUGGAAAAGCAAAUGUAGGUAUAAGUAACGAUUAGGGGGAUGAGAACUCCCCCCGCCGAAAGUCUAAGGUUUCCCGGGCAAUGCCAGUCAUCCCGGGGUUAGUCGGGUCCUAAGCCUCAUCCUAAUGGAGAGGGCGAUGGCAGAAACGGUUAACAUUCCGUUACUGCCGGCAGGAGCGAUGUGGAGACGGAGCAGUGACACGGCCGCGGGGCGACGGAAGUCCCCGUUGAAUGGUGUAGGCGUAGACCGGGGCAGGCAAAUCCACCCUGGGAGCCGAACCUGAUAGUAUGGCUCUCCCCUCGGGGAGCGCCAAUAGUGCCGGUAAUCAAGCUUCCAAGAAAAUCCGCUAAGCUUCAUCCUGUCGGCACCCGUACCGCAAACCGACACAGGUAGACGGGUUGAAUAUACUCAGGCGUUGAGAGAUUCAUGGUUAAGGAACUAGGCAAACUGACCCUGUAACUUCGGGAUAAAGGGUCCUCGUUAUGAUGACGAGGCGCAGAGAAUAGGUCCAGGCAACUGUUUAACAAAAACACAGGGCUGUGCGAACACGAAAGUAGAAGUAUACAGCCUGACACCUGCCCGGUGCCGGAAGGUUAAGAGGAGACGUCAUCCCAUUUAUGGGUGCCGCGUUGAAUUGAAGCCCCGGUAAACGGCGGCCGUAACUAUAACGGUCCUAAGGUAGCGAAAUUCCUUGUCGGGUAAGUUCCGACCUGCACGAAUGGUGUAAUGAUCCGGACGCUGUCUCAAUCAUGAUCUCAGUGAAAUUGUAGUAUCGGUGAAGAUGCCGAUUACCCGCGAUGGGACGAAAAGACCCCGUGAACCUUUACUAUAGCUUAGCAUUGAGCCCGGUCAUCCGAUGUGUAGGAUAGGCCGGAGGCUUUGAAUCUCCCGCGCCAGCGGGAGUGGAGCCCCCCUUGAAAUACGGCCCUUCGGCUGUCUGGGUUCUAACGCGCAAGAUGUGCGGACACUGCUUGGCGGGUAGUUUGACUGGGGUGGUCGCCUCCAAAAGCGUAACGGAGGCUUCCAAAGGUGCCCUCCGGCCGAUUGGUAACCGGCCUUAUAGAGUGCAAUGGCAUAAGGGCGCUUGACUGGGAGGCAGACAUGCCGAUCAGGCAGGAAACUGGGGCAUAGUGAUCCGGUGCAUGCGUAUGGAAGCUGCAUCGCUCAAAGGAUAAAAGGUACUCCGGGGAUAACAGGCUGAUCCCCCCCAAGAGCUCAUAUCGACGGGGUGGUUUGGCACCUCGAUGUCGGCUCGUCACAUCCUGGGGCUGGAGAAGGUCCCAAGGGUUGGGCUGUUCGCCCAUUAAAGUGGCACGCGAGCUGGGUUCAGAACGUCGUGAGACAGUUCGGUCUCUAUCUAUCGUGGGCGCAGGAGUUUUGCGUGGUGCCGUCACUAGUACGAGAGGACCGUGACGGACAGACCUCCGGUCUGCCGGUUGUGCCGCCAGGUGCACCGCCGGGUAUCCGCGUCUGGCCAGGAUAAGCGCUGAAAGCAUCUAAGCGCGAAGCCAUCCGCAAGAUGAGAACUCCAUU
This is a ribosomal RNA of 2818 nucleotides. It matches the Rfam family "Bacterial large subunit ribosomal RNA". The record is from Rfam.